AAGUCGUAACAAGGUUUCCGUAGGUGAACCUGCGGAAGGAUCAUUAGAAAAAAUUUGCUCUCUCUCGAGAGCUUUAUUUCUACAAACCCAUUGUGCACUGGUCCCUUUUUAUACGCCAAUGUCUAGUUAUGGAUGUGAUUGUUGACAAACUAAAAAAA
Molecule: unclassified non-coding RNA, 158 nt
Filed under: plant metagenome
Description: partial contains small subunit ribosomal RNA and internal transcribed spacer 1
Rfam family: Eukaryotic small subunit ribosomal RNA (bases 1-46)
Source: RNAcentral